Molecule: transfer RNA, 69 nt
Filed under: Ictidomys tridecemlineatus (thirteen-lined ground squirrel)
Lineage: Eukaryota; Metazoa; Chordata; Mammalia; Rodentia; Sciuridae
Description: Spermophilus tridecemlineatus (thirteen-lined ground squirrel) tRNA
Rfam family: tRNA
About the family: Transfer RNA (tRNA) molecules are approximately 80 nucleotides in length.
Source: Rfam by way of RNAcentral
GGGAUUGUGGCUCAGUGGCAGAGCUCUUAUCUAGCAUGUGUGAUGCCCUAGGUUCGAAUCCCAGCACCA